AUUUAUUUUUAUUCAUUAAAUGUGUAUAAACUGCACUUUCAUAUAAAGUGUCACAUGGCAGCGCAGCUUUUUUUUCAGCCGGAACUCAGUUCCGGAACCUCUCAGGUGGGCACCAUUGCCAUUAUAAGAGAACAAGAACUCAACUGUCCUGCUUUUACUGAGAGAUCACAUCUUAAAGAAUCCGCCCCGGCUUCUGAUUGGAUCUGGGAGUGUCCCAGGAUCCAUGCGUUCUCUCUUGAGCAGCUAAGGAGGCCUGCCUAUGUGGUGCUGCUCUGCCCAGAAAAGGCCUGCCCAUGUAGCACUGUGGCACUCCGAGAAGGCCUGUCCUCACAGUGCUGGUCGAUGGAGGCAACAGCAAUGAAGAGAGAGUAAGAGGCAGCUUCAGUUCUGACUGUGGGCUUCACUGUUAUUCUCCUUUGGACUGUCCUUAACACAAUCAAUAAAAACAGGAAUGAAAACAAUUUCAAGAAGGCCUCCUCAACAUGGAACAGCCCAGCCAGAGAAGGAGAGCCUUAAGUAAUUGACUGACAAAGUGAGUGAAAUUCAGGUGCCCAGAAACAAGGUUUCCAUUUUGGAAGAAGUGGGACCACAGGAAAUGACUCUUCUGCCAUGAAAACAUCCAAGUCUUUUCCCUUUCAUGCCUUGGCCUGAAAAUGGUACCAAAUGAGGAGUGGCUAUUAAAUGGAUCUACAUGCUGGGGCAUGCUUUCUCGGAUGGCAAUUUCACCGCACCAUAUGUGUCUCUCACAAGAUAGCAGAGUGAAAUGAGUCUUGGCAGGAAGAGAACUAAA
This is a long non-coding RNA of Podarcis raffonei (Aeolian wall lizard), 790 nucleotides long. RefSeq lists it as uncharacterized. Lineage: Eukaryota; Metazoa; Chordata; Lepidosauria; Squamata; Lacertidae. The record is from RefSeq and is a predicted model, not a curated record. The transcript is spliced from 3 exons.